AGAUUGAACGCUGGCGGCAUGCUUUACACAUGCAAGUCGAACGGCAGCGCGGGGCAACCUGGCGGCGAGUGGCGAACGGGUGAGUAAUAUAUCGGAACGUACCCAAGAGUGGGGGAUAACGUAGCGAAAGUUACGCUAAUACCGCAUACGAUCUAAGGAUGAAAGCAGGGGACCGCAAGGCCUUGUGCUCCUGGAGCGGCCGAUAUCUGAUUAGCUAGUUGGUACGGUAAAGGCCUACCAAGGCUACGAUCAGUAGCUGGUCUGAGAGGACGACCAGCCACACUGGAACUGAGACACGGUCCAGACUCCUACGGGA
This 316-nucleotide ribosomal RNA is filed under the name uncultured soil bacterium. RNAcentral describes it as "bacterial SSU rRNA". It matches the Rfam family "Bacterial small subunit ribosomal RNA", at positions 26 to 346 of the family's 1533-position model. The record is from RNAcentral.